GAUGAACGCUGGCGGCGUGCCUAAUACAUGCAAGUCGAGCGAACAGACGAGGAGCUUGCUCCUCUGACGUUAGCGGCGGGCGGGUGAGUAACACGUGGAUAACCUACCUAUAAGACUGGGAUAACUUCGGGAAACCGGAGCUAAUACCGGAUAAUAUAUUGAACCGCAUGGUUCAAUAGUGAAAGACGGUUUUGCUGUCACUUAUAGAUGGAUCCGCGCCGCAUUAGCUAGUUGGUAAGGUAACGGCUUACCAAGGCAACGAUGCGUAGCCGACCUGAGAGGGUGAUCGGCCACACUGGAACUGAGACACGGUCCAGACUCCUACGGGAGGCAGCAGUAGGGAAUCUUCCGCGAUGGGCGAAAGCCUGACGGAGCAACGCCGCGUGAGUGAUGAAGGUCUUCGGAUCGUAAAACUCUGUUAUUAGGGAAGAACAAAUGUGUAAGUAACUAUGCACGUCUUGACGGUACCUAAUCAGAAAGCCACGGCUAACUACGUG
Molecule: ribosomal RNA, 497 nt
Filed under: uncultured bacterium
Lineage: Bacteria
Description: partial 16S ribosomal RNA
Rfam family: Bacterial small subunit ribosomal RNA
Source: RNAcentral